GAGAAUUGGCGUAGGCACAGGGCGAGGGACACGGGCGCUGGGCGUUUAGGUCCAAGCUGCAGCCGCUGACUGGUAGCGAGGACUUGAGUGGAACAUGGCUCGGCCGUACAUUUGCCUUCUGGCCCUGGCGGCUGUGCUGCUGCUAGGUAUCGCCACCAUCUCCAGGUCGAGGGGCCUACGGGACAAGGCUCAUCAGAGUGCGCCGCGAAUCCCUUCUCAGUUCAGCCAAGAGGAGCGCGUCGCGAUGAAGGAAGCUCUAAAAGGUGCCAUCCAGAUUCCAACAGUAUCUUUCAGCCCCAAGGAGCUCAACACGACAGCCCUGGCUGAGUUUGGAGAAUACAUUCGUAAAGUCUUUCCUACUGUGUUCAAAACCAGCUUCAUCCGGCAUGAAGUCGUGGGAGAGUAUAGCCACCUGUUCACUGUCCACGGCUCGGACCCCAGCCUACAGCCCUACAUGCUCCUAGCUCACAUUGAUGUGGUGCCUGCCCCUGAUGAAGGCUGGGACGUGCCCCCUUUCUCUGGGCUGGAACGUGAUGGCUUCAUCUACGGUCGAGGCACAAUAGACAACAAGAACUCUCUUAUGGGAAUCCUGCAGUCCUUGGAACUUCUGCUCAUCAGAAACUACAUCCCUCGAAGAUCUUUCUUCAUUGCUCUGGGCCAUGAUGAGGAGGUGAUGGGGGUCAAUGGGGCUCAGAAGAUCUCAGCCCUUCUACAGGCAAGGGGCGUCCAGCUAGCCUUCAUUGUGGAUGAGGGGAGUUUCAUCUUUGAUGGUUUCAUUCCCGGCCUUAAGAACCCCUUUGCCAUGGUUUCAGUCUCCGAGAAGGGCUUAAUUAACCUCAUGCUGCAAGUAAACACGACUCCAGGACACUCUUCAGCUCCUCCAAAGGAAACUAGCAUUGGCAUCCUUGCAGCCGCUGUCAACCGACUGGAACAGACACCAAUGCCAAACAUGUUUGGAGAUGGGCCAACAAAGAUGGCAUUGCAGGAACUGGCAAAUGAGUUUUCCUUCCCUACCAAUUUAUUCUUGAGCAACAUGUGGCUCUUUCGGCCCCUUGUAAGCAGGUUGAUGGAGAGGAAUUUCGUAACCAAUGCGCUGGUCCGGACCACCACAGCACUCACCAUGUUUAACUCGGGAAUCAAGGUAAAUGUCAUCCCCGCUGUGGCCCAGGCCAUCGUCAACUUCCGGAUUCACCCCGCACAGACUGUCCAGGAGGUCCUAAAACUAGCCAAGGACAUUGUGGCGGACGACCGGGUCCAGUUCCACGUGUUGAAUGCCUUUGACCCCUCACCCAUCAGCCCCUCUGAUGAUCAAGCCUUAGGCUACCAGCUGCUCCGCCAGACCAUACAGUCUGUCUUCCCGGAAAUCAACAUUGUUGUCCCAGGUACAUGUGUUGUCAGCACAGACAGCAAACACUAUUUGAACCUCACCACUGGCAUCUACCUGUUCAACCCCCUCUACCUGCAGCCGCAGAGCUUCCGCACCAGAUUUUUAGUCCCAGGAUAUGAGGGAUGAUGUCCAUUUCCUCUCUGCUCCUUACCACAUCCAGCUCUGAUUUCCUCGUCCGUGCAUGGAAUCAAUGAGAGAAUCUCAGUUCAAGCCUACGAGAGGCAAGUGAAGUUCAUUUUCGAGUUUAUCCAGAAUGCUGACACAGACCCCAAGCCAGUUCCUCACCUGCAUGAACUGUGAGGUCAGGGAGCCCGCUGGUUUAGGGGUGCCUGAUGCUGGGCCAGGACUAACCCAAGGGGAAAGCCGGUGUUGAUGAAGCUUCUGGUCAAAACCACCGUAUAAGGGCCUUGCCCACCUGCCUUGAUCAUCCCUAAAUUCACCCACGAACAAGGCCAGGGAGAAGUGACGGCCACCAGGAACCCAGCUUCGCCCUUCCUGCCGACAAUGCCAUCCUUCAGCAGAUGGGCAUUUACUGCCUUCUUGUCCAUAAGUUAGAAGAUAGCCGGUUUGUCUGUCUUCCUCUCAUCAAGGCCUGAUUUAGUAAAUGCAGAUUUGAAAAAUACCAACCAA
Molecule: non-coding RNA, 2017 nt
Organism: Sus scrofa (pig)
Lineage: Eukaryota; Metazoa; Chordata; Mammalia; Artiodactyla; Suidae
Source: RefSeq, a predicted model, not a curated record